RNAcentral lists this unclassified non-coding RNA (220 nucleotides) under uncultured Gemmatimonadota bacterium. RNAcentral's name for it is "uncultured Gemmatimonadetes bacterium contains 16S-23S intergenic spacer region". The record is from RNAcentral. Lineage: Bacteria; Pseudomonadati; Gemmatimonadota.
UCCGGCUUGACGCCGGCAGUCCCCCGAGAGUCCUCAGCAUGACCUGUUAGUAACACGGGGCAAGGGUUGCGCUCGUUGCGGGACUUAACCCAACAUCUCACGACACGAGCUGACGACAGCCAUGCAGCACCUGUGCUGGUGUUCCGAAGAAGGGCCCAACUUUCGUCGGGCUUUCACCAGCAUGUCAAACCUAGGUAAGGUGGGGAUGACGUCAGGAUAG